UGUGACCACUCGAACAAGACUAGUGAUCUGGACCUCAGAUGAAGAGGUCCUCCUUCUCAAUGCCACACUCCGACCCAAGGCAUGAGAAGAGUCUGAGGUGGUUGUGCCAGAAGGCCUCGAAUUGGCCUCGCUUGGGUGUCGGGAGUUCAACUAUACCCUUCUUUCUAUUCUAGGCCAUGCACCAAACUGACUCAAGCUCCUCAGGCUUCAUAUCUGAAACAAAAGGCCGAGGUAGAAAAAUUAGGACCCUAUGGAUAGGAUAAAGCUAAAACAAAUUACAAUGGGAGCUUACCAUAA
This 297-nucleotide long non-coding RNA is filed under the name Elaeis guineensis (African oil palm). RNAcentral describes it as "long non-coding RNA (EGUI_LNC008051)". Lineage: Eukaryota; Viridiplantae; Streptophyta; Magnoliopsida; Arecales; Arecaceae. The record is from RNAcentral.